Molecule: ribosomal RNA, 456 nt
Filed under: uncultured bacterium
Lineage: Bacteria
Description: SSU rRNA
Rfam family: Bacterial small subunit ribosomal RNA
Source: RNAcentral
AGAAUCAACGCUGGCGGCGUGCCUAACACAUGCAAGUCGCACGAGAAAGGGGAGCAAUCCCUGAGUACAGUGGCGCACGGGUGAGUAACACGUGAAUUAUCUACCUCCGAGUGGGGAAUAACUGAGAGAAAUCUUAGCUAAUACCGCAUAACACUUACGAGUCAAAGCAGCAAUGCGCUUGGAGAGGAGUUCGCGGCCGAUUAGUUAGUUGGCGGGGUAAUGGCCCACCAAGACGAUGAUCGGUAUCCGGCCUGAGAGGGCGCACGGACACACUGGAACUGAAACACGGUCCAGACUCCUACGGAGGCAGCAGUGGGGAAUUUUGCGCAAUGGGGAAACCCUGACGCAGCAACGCCGCGUGGAGGAUGAAGCCCCUUGGGGUGUAAACUCCUUUCGAUCGGGAAGAUAAUGACGGUACCGAUAUAAGAAGCCCGGCUAACUCGUGCCAGCAGCCGC